AAAGGGCUGACUUGGAAAUCGUGGUUCAUUUUUACCUUUGUCCCUUGGCUUUCUUUUAUGGUCCUUUUUGAGUGAUCCUCAGCUCGACACAGAGAAUUUCCUUCCCUGAAGAUCUUCAUUGAUCCCUGCGUCAGAGAGCCGACUCCCACCAAACACUGCACUGCACAACAAAUCACUCUGCUAACUGAAGAAAGAGAAAUAUGAAGCUCUCCAUUUUCUUGCUGGUGGUGUUCUCUGUCACUGUGCUCUGUGUGGAUUAUGAACAUGUUAAGAAGUUCAAAAAUCAGCGUAUCAUCGAACCAGACACAAAAAUAUCGUCCGUUUCUUCUAGCAGAUCAGCACAAGAAAGUGAUAACAAACGUGUUGAAAAGUUCAAAAAACAGCAUAUCAUCGAACCAGUCACAGAAGAGUCAUGUGAUGAACUAAUAGGCGAGAGGAACAUCACACGUAAACCAAAAAACACCUUCAUCUUGAGCACUUUUGAAAAGGUUAAAGAUAUUUGUACAGAACAACA
This is an RNA transcript of Oreochromis niloticus (Nile tilapia), 514 nucleotides long. RefSeq lists it as uncharacterized. Lineage: Eukaryota; Metazoa; Chordata; Actinopteri; Cichliformes; Cichlidae. The transcript is spliced from 3 exons. The record is from RefSeq and is a predicted model, not a curated record.